CCUACGUGAGGCAGCAGUGGGGAAUAUUGCACAAUGGGGGAAACCCUGAUGCAGCGACGCCGCGUGAGUGAAGAAGUAAUUCGUUACGUAAAGCUCUAUCAGCAUGGAAGCAAAUGACGGUAACUGAGUCAGAAGCCCCGGCUAACUACGUGUCAGCAGCCGCGGUAAUACGUAGGGUGCAAGCGUUAUCCGGAUUUACUGGGUGUAAAGGGAGCGUAGACGGUGCGCCAUGUCUGGAGUGAAUUGCAGCAGCUUAACUGCGGAACUGCUUUGGAAACUGGCGAACGAGAGUGCGGGAGGGGUAAGCGUAAUUCCUGGGGUAGCGGUGAAAUGCGUAGAUAUUAGGAGGAACACCGGUGGCGAAGGCGGCUUACUGGACCGUAACUGACGUUGAGGCUCGAAAGCGUGGGGAGCAAAAAGGAUUAGAUACCCCAGUAGUC
This 440-nucleotide ribosomal RNA is filed under the name uncultured bacterium. Its description in RNAcentral is "partial 16S ribosomal RNA". It matches the Rfam family "Bacterial small subunit ribosomal RNA", at positions 338 to 795 of the family's 1533-position model. The record is from RNAcentral.